AGAUGGCGACCGGCGCACGGGUGAGUAACACGUAUCCAACCUGCCGAUAACUCCGGAAUAGCCUUUCGAAAGAGAGAUUAAUACCGGAUGGCAUACGAAUAUCGCAUGAUAUUUUUAUUAAAGAAUUUCGGUUAUCGAUGGGGAUGCGUUCCAUUAGUUUGUUGGCGGGGUAACGGCCCACCAAGACUACGAUGGAUAGGGGUUCUGAGAGGAAGGUCCCCCACAUUGGAACUGAGACACGGUCCAA
Molecule: ribosomal RNA, 247 nt
Filed under: uncultured bacterium
Lineage: Bacteria
Description: partial 16S ribosomal RNA
Rfam family: Bacterial small subunit ribosomal RNA
Source: RNAcentral